Danio rerio (zebrafish) is the source of this 71-nucleotide non-coding RNA. The record is from Rfam. NCBI's taxonomy places the organism in Eukaryota, Metazoa, Chordata, Actinopteri, Cypriniformes, Danionidae.
GCAUUGGUGGUUCAGUGGUAGAAUUCUCGCCUGCCACGCGGGAGACCCGGAUCCGAUUCCCGGCCAAUGCA